RNAcentral lists this ribosomal RNA (529 nucleotides) under uncultured bacterium. RNAcentral's name for it is "bacterial SSU rRNA". It matches the Rfam family "Bacterial small subunit ribosomal RNA", at positions 335 to 857 of the family's 1533-position model. The record is from RNAcentral.
CACCUACGGGUGGCAGCAGUCGAGAAUUUUUCUCAAUGGGGGAAACCCUGAAGGAGCGACGCCGCGUGGGGGAUGAAUGGCUUCGGCCCGUAAACCCCUGUCAUUUGCGAUCAAACCUUACAACCUAACACGUUGUGAGCUGAUAGUAGCGGAAGAGGAAGGGACGGCUAACUCUGUGCCAGCAGCCGCGGUAAUACAGAGGUCCCAAGCGUUGUUCGGAUUCACUGGGCGUAAAGGGUGCGUAGGCGGUCGGGUAAGUCUGACGUGAAAUCUUCAAGCUCAACUUGGAAACUGCGUCGGAUACUAUUCGGCUAGAGGAAUGGAGGGGAGACUGGAAUACUUGGUGUAGCAGUGAAAUGCGUAGAUAUCAAGUGGAACACCAGUGGCGAAGGCGAGUCUCUGGACAUUUCCUGACGCUGAGGCACGAAAGCCAGGGGAGCAAACGGGAUUAGAUACCCCGGUAGUCCUGGCCCUAAACGGUGCACGUUUGCUGUAAGAGGAAUCGACCCCUUUUGUGGCGAAGCUAACG